RNAcentral lists this ribosomal RNA (380 nucleotides) under uncultured eukaryote. Its description in RNAcentral is "SSU rRNA". It matches the Rfam family "Eukaryotic small subunit ribosomal RNA", at positions 587 to 972 of the family's 1831-position model. The record is from RNAcentral.
AGCUCCAAUAGCGUAUAUUAAAGUUGUUGCGGUUAAAAGCUCGUAGUUGGGUUUCUGCUGAGGGUGGCUGGUCCGCCCUCUGGGUGAGUAUCUGGCACAGCCUGAGCAUUGUUUUUAAGAGUACAACUGCACUUGACUGUGUGGUGUGGUCUUGAAAAUUUUUACUUUGAAGAAAUCAAUGUGUUUCAAGCAGGUUCUUGCCCUGAAUACAUUAGCAUGGAAUAAUAUAACCAAGCUGUGGUUCUAUUUUGUUGGUUUCUAGAACUGAAGCAAUGAUUAAUAGGGAUGGUUGGGGGCAUUUGUAUUUAAUUGUCAGAGGUGAAAUUCUUGGAUUUGUUAAAGACAGACUACUGCGAAAGCAUUUGCCAAGGAUGUUUUCA